This is a long non-coding RNA of Capsicum annuum, 923 nucleotides long. RefSeq lists it as uncharacterized. NCBI's taxonomy places the organism in Eukaryota, Viridiplantae, Streptophyta, Magnoliopsida, Solanales, Solanaceae. The transcript is spliced from 2 exons. The record is from RefSeq and is a predicted model, not a curated record.
UUCGAACCGAAAAUGUAAUAAGUGUAAUUUUCGAUUCUCACCAUAUUUCUCUAUCUUUUUUCCCAAUGUAGAAAACAAAAAACGAGCAUGCCAAAAUUAUUAUUUUCUUAAAAAAAAAGAAGAAAAAAAGUCAAAGUAAAAUAUUAAGGUGGGCUCAGUUGUCACAAUCUAACAUUUUUAGGCCUAAACGAUAAGCCCACCCAAGCCAGCCUAAAAUCUCAUUGAUUGUGAAUUAACAACAUUUAUAUGUCCACGUCAUUUCCACCAAUCAUUUAUCCCAUUUUAAAUUAAAUGAACAAAAAAAAAAACAUAAUAAUGCAUCUUACCUUAUUCCCCCUUGUCCUUUUUUUUUUCUCUUUAUAAACAAUCCCCCAACCUCUUAAACUAUCAUAAACAUCUCUAUUCUCCACCAUCAAAUAUCUAUCUGCAACCUUAAAACACACAAACACAUAAACAAACAGUCCCAAUUAAGUUGUUUUUGUUUUUUAAGAUUUGAAGAAAAGCAAAGUUAAUUAAGGAUGUUUGAAAUCUUUGUGCUAGGUUGUACUGGUGUUGUCAUGUUCCUUCAUGGAGUAAAUUUCUUCUUCCAUGCUCUCUCCACACAUAUGGCCAUUCGUUCUCUCAGCUUCUUAGGAUUUGUUGGUUGGUGAAGAUGAUGAUCACGAGAUGAAGGAAGCUUGCACCAACGGCAAUGCUUUUUGUAAAUAUUUCAUUUUUUUUUCUUUUCUAUUUCUUAUAUUAUGUUGUUGGGGUCCCAAAGAAAAGGGAGGAGAAUACCUAUGAUGAGAAAAUAUGUUCUCUCUAUAUGUAUUGUAAUCAUUGAAAGGAUUUUGCCUUGUUUCAAGUAAUACAACAACCUUUCAACUCUUUUGUAUAUAAUUAUUAUUAUAAUAAUAAAGACCGCUCGAUAGUGUUUCAGAUUA